UGGGGAAUAUUGGACAAUGGGCGCAAGCCUGAUCCAGCCAUGCCGCGUGAGUGAUGAAGGCCCUAGGGUUGUAAAGCUCUUUUAUCCGGGACGAUAAUGACGGUACCGGAAGAAUAAGCCCCGGCUAACUUCGUGCCAGCAGCCGCGGUAAUACGAAGGGGGCUAGCGUUGCUCGGAAUCACUGGGCGUAAAGGGCGCGUAGGCGGACGUUUAAGUCAGGGGUGAAAUCCCGGGGCUCAACCUCGGAAUUGCCUUUGAUACUGGAUGUCUCGAGACCGGAAGAGGUAAGUGGAACUGCGAGUGUAGAGGUGAAAUUCGUAGAUAUUCGCAAGAACACCAGUGGCGAAGGCGGCUUACUGGUCCGGAUCUGACGCUGAGGCGCGAAAGCGUGGGGAGCAAACA
Molecule: ribosomal RNA, 402 nt
Filed under: uncultured Beijerinckiaceae bacterium
Lineage: Bacteria; Pseudomonadati; Pseudomonadota; Alphaproteobacteria; Hyphomicrobiales; Beijerinckiaceae
Description: bacterial SSU rRNA
Rfam family: Bacterial small subunit ribosomal RNA
Source: RNAcentral